UCAUCCUGAUCAACCUGAUGUUGUUGUCUUCAGUCAUGGUUUGAAUUCAGCCACAUGUUCUGGAACAGGACGAAAAUUAAAUGAAAACAAAAUAAUCAUAUUUCACAGGAGAUUACAAGUCACAGUCAGGGGACAGAGUUAGCAAAAUGGCCGCCCCACCACCGCUGUACAAGUUGUUUCCUCUCGGGCCCUCAGCAGCUCAGACCAGCCUGGAUGCUUUGGUGUCAGCUAUGUGGCGUAGACUCUUCCUUGGACAGGACUUUGGGCAAAACCACUGGCUGAAUAAAAUCUUUGCCAAGAUGUCCGAAUGGCCAGAACUGGCAACCCUGCAGCUCUGUCCGUACUAUUUUGACCAGGUCACUUACAGGCUUCCCACCAGAGACCAAGUGAAACACAAAUCGGAUGCUAUAAUGAGUGAUCUUCCCCCCACUUGUGGCCUGAAGGGAGAGCUACAACCUGAGGCUGCAUUGCUUCGACUCAUGGACAGACGACGGACAGGAGAGGCAGAGGGCCACUGA
Molecule: long non-coding RNA, 518 nt
Filed under: Sparus aurata (gilthead seabream)
Lineage: Eukaryota; Metazoa; Chordata; Actinopteri; Spariformes; Sparidae
Description: lncRNA (ENSSAUG00010023616.1)
Source: RNAcentral